Clarias gariepinus (North African catfish) is the source of this 736-nucleotide long non-coding RNA. RefSeq lists it as uncharacterized. NCBI's taxonomy places the organism in Eukaryota, Metazoa, Chordata, Actinopteri, Siluriformes, Clariidae. The transcript has 3 exons. The record is from RefSeq and is a predicted model, not a curated record.
ACCACCAGCAGCAACAGCAACAUUUUUACAAAAUCUGAUCACAUGGUGGCCUAAUUGUGACUCAGCCAGUGUGUGUGGCGCAGUAGGGUGGUGAUCUGAGGCGUGAUGCUGUCGGAAAACAGAGAAAAGUAAAAAGGAGACAGAGAGUAGGGAAUCACCAUGGAUGAGCCGAUACGAUAUCAUUACGAUACCUGGCUGACGAUCCAAUUUGUAUUGCGAUUCUGUUUCUACAGAUCUAUUCACCCUUUUUUAUGGUCCAAAUAUCAAUACUGAUGUUGGUAUUUCGCAUGCUCCCAUUGAGGGGUCGCCACAACAAUCCGCACAACUCCUUGGCAUAGAUUUUAAGCCGGGUGCCCUUCCUGACACAACCAGCCCAUUUUAUCCGGGCUUGGGCAACAGCACUGCAUCCUGUGACUGGGUAGUAUUGGGGUGUGGCAACCCACCGACAGCGGGGCUCGAACCCGGUUCCUUAAAUCCCCAAACCAACAAGCCAGAGCCUUAGCCGUCUGAGCUACCACUCUCUACGCUCCAAAUAUCAAUAUUAAUCUAAAAAAACAUACAAUACUGUUAAGACUUUUUUUUUUUAAUCAGGGAUGUUGUUUGAAUAAAAAUACUAGAAACUACGUCAUUUAUACAGUAACCACGCACUGCUUACGAGUGCACACGUAAAAAGCAGAAAGGUACAACUCAAGCGGCAGAUGAAGCUGUUGAAACACUGUGCAACUGAACAAAGUAA